RNAcentral lists this ribosomal RNA (441 nucleotides) under uncultured bacterium. RNAcentral's name for it is "partial 16S ribosomal RNA". It matches the Rfam family "Bacterial small subunit ribosomal RNA", at positions 338 to 795 of the family's 1533-position model. The record is from RNAcentral.
CCUACGGGGAGCAGCAGUGGGGGAUAUUGCACAAUGGGGGGAACCCUGAUGCAGCGAAGCCGCGUGGGUGAAGGAGUGCUUCGGCAUGUAAAGCCCUAUCGGCAGGGAAGAAGCAAGACGGUACAUGACUAAGAAGCCCCGGCUAACCACGUGCCAGCAGCCGCGGUCAUACGUAGGGGGCGAGCGUUAUCCGGGUUCCCUGGGGGUAAAGGGAGCGUAGAAGGCCAAGCAAGCCGGGGGGUAAAGCCCGGGGCCCAACCCCGGGACUGCCCUUGGAACUGCAUGGCUUGAGGGCGGGAGGGGCAGGCGGAAUUCCUGGUGUAGCGGUGAAAUGCGUAGAUAUCAGGAGGAACACCGGCGGCGAAGGCGGCCUGCUGGACCGCGACUGACGUUGAGGCUCGAAAGCGUGGGGAGCGAACAGGAUUAGAUACCCCAGUAGUC